AAUCUUUGACGAGUAAACGGUUAGUUUCAGCAGCAGAUUUUUUUUCAAAUGAAAGCAAAAGUAACGUUUCCCAUAAAUGUUGCCUUGUAGACGAAAAAUUCCAUGCAAUAAAAACAAUGUUGCUAACACUUUGGCAAAGUGAAAUGUACCAAAUUUUUAAAAUUGUCGACAGUCCUGCCACUUAUCAAACCAACUACAUAUGCUUAUUUGUAUAUGACGUUAUAAUAAUAGGACAGGAAUUGAGUAUUAUGGGAGGGAAUUACAAAUAUAUUUCACUUGCUAGAUUAUGUCCUUAAUUUUAAAACAAUAUUUCUUUUUUAGUUAGGGGGUUUGAUAUUAGACAAAGAGAUUAGAUCUUUGGCCGCUUACCUUACGACUACUACGUCCUGGUCAAUAAGAGACAAGUUUGCAAGGCUAACGCAAAUAGCUACAGUACUAAACUUGGAGAAGGUUUCCGAAAUAUCUGACUAUUGGGGUAACGAAAGUUCUUUGACUUGGAGAUUAACUCCGACCGAACUGAGGAGUAUAAUGUCUUUAAGAAUCGACUUUAAAAUAGAUGAAAUCAGGAGAUUAAAAUUGUAAAAAAAGGCAAGUGAUGUCAUUUUUCACAGUUUAUUUAUGUACAUAUUAGUUUUAUAUAUAUAAUUGUACAUGUUGUGCUGUUGGAAUAAAUACAUAUACAGCU
Agrilus planipennis (emerald ash borer) is the source of this 685-nucleotide long non-coding RNA. RefSeq lists it as uncharacterized. The transcript has 2 exons. Lineage: Eukaryota; Metazoa; Arthropoda; Insecta; Coleoptera; Buprestidae. The record is from RefSeq and is a predicted model, not a curated record.